GGAAAUCUGGCGCGGUUCAAUACCUCGUCUAGCCUGGGUUCCAGUAUCUAAUUUUUUUUUUGUUUUAACUGACAAACUCAUUUCUCUACUGGGACAGGAUGCUGUGCUGGCUGGAAGUUCCAUUUCUACAGCAAGAAUCCUAUCUGGAAACACAGAAGUUGUCCUCUAGCCACAGCAGCUCGAACUUUUUUGAUUGUCGUUGCUGCUUUCUCCCAUCACCCCCAUCCCCUUUUGACAAAGAUCCAACUGUAAAAAGUCUUACGUAACAGUUCAGGACUACUUCGGUUCUUUUACUGGAUGCAGAAUCUACCUACAUUCGGCUGAAAAUCAGAUGGAAGAAUCCACAGAGGAAAGGAAGGAAAGGCGAACUGUCCUGUGGAAAGCACAGCUGCAGGGAUAGUAGAAAGUAACAGGCUCUCGAUCCGUGGGAGGUGGUCACUUUGGAGGACAGAUAAGUCAUCCUCAGAGAACGAACACAAUGAAGGAAAUUCCAGCCUAUUCAUGUUCUCCUCUCAGGCUGUACCUCAACAAGAUCCAACUGGACUUUGUGAUCUCAUAACCUGUCAAGGGGCCUGGCAUGGAGUAGAUAAUAAAUGUUUUUUUUAAUCAAA
Molecule: long non-coding RNA, 611 nt
Filed under: Homo sapiens (human)
Lineage: Eukaryota; Metazoa; Chordata; Mammalia; Primates; Hominidae
Description: PREDICTED lncRNA (TCONS_00262353)
Source: RNAcentral